Molecule: small RNA, 28 nt
Filed under: Bombyx mori (domestic silkworm)
Lineage: Eukaryota; Metazoa; Arthropoda; Insecta; Lepidoptera; Bombycidae
Description: ovarian small RNA-19460
Source: RNAcentral
UAAGUUCACAAAUAUUGCUAUAAAGGAC